This 445-nucleotide ribosomal RNA is filed under the name uncultured bacterium. RNAcentral describes it as "bacterial SSU rRNA". It matches the Rfam family "Bacterial small subunit ribosomal RNA", at positions 217 to 662 of the family's 1533-position model. The record is from RNAcentral.
GGUAUGGGAUGAGCUUGCGUCCGAUUAGCUAGUUGGCGGGGCAACGGCCCACCAAGGCGACGAUCGGUAGCCGGCCUGAGAGGGUGAUCGGCCACAUUGGGACUGAGAUACGGCCCAGACUCCUACGGGAGGCAGCAGUAGGGAAUAUUGCACAAUGGGGGAAACCCUGAUGCAGCAACGCCACGUGUGGGAAGAAGCAUUUCGGUGUGUAAACCACUGUCGUGAGGGAAUAAGGCGUCUUCUCGGAGGCGUUGAAUGUACCUCGAAAGGAAGCACCGGCAAACUUCGUGCCAGCAGCCGCGGUAAUACGAGGGGUGCAAGCGUUGUUCGGAAUCACUGGGCGUAAAGGGAGCGUAGGCGGAGAUGCAAGCGGACUGUACAAUACCGGGACCCAACCCCGGGCCUGCAGUUCGGACUGCACCUCUUGGAUAGUUCAGGGGCAGGC